UACAGAGGUCCCAAGCGUUGUUCGGAUUCAUUGGGCGUAAAGGGUGCGUAGGUGGCGUCGUAAGUCGGGUGUGAAAUCUCGGGGCUUAACUCCGAAACUGCAUUCGAUACUGCGGUGCUUGAGGACUGGAGAGGAGACUGGAAUUCAUGGUGUAGCAGUGAAAUGCGUAGAGAUCAUGAGGAAGACCAGUGGCGAAGGCGGGUCUCUGGACAGUUCCUGACACUGAGGCACGAAGGCCAGGGGAGCAAACGGG
RNAcentral lists this ribosomal RNA (253 nucleotides) under uncultured bacterium. Its description in RNAcentral is "partial 16S ribosomal RNA". It matches the Rfam family "Bacterial small subunit ribosomal RNA", at positions 524 to 776 of the family's 1533-position model. The record is from RNAcentral.